CCCUUAGAUGUCCUGGGCUGCACGCGUGCUACAAUGGCGUUUCCAGCAAGUCUGCGAACCCGAGAGGGCCAGCGGAUCUUCGAAUUGGCGUCGUGAUCGGGACAGUCGAUUGCAAUUAUUUGACUCAAACGAGGAAUUCCUUGUAAUCGCGAUUCAUCAUAUCGCGCUGAAUACGUCCCUGCCCUUUGUACACACCGCCCGUCGCUCCUACCGAUUGAGCGAUCCGGUAAAUGUUUUGGAUUGGUGCCGGGGCGGCUAGCUGCCGGUCGCUACGAAAUUUUGUGAACCUUAUCGCUUAGAGGAAGGAAAAGUCGUAACA
RNAcentral lists this ribosomal RNA (319 nucleotides) under uncultured eukaryote. RNAcentral's name for it is "partial 18S ribosomal RNA". It matches the Rfam family "Eukaryotic small subunit ribosomal RNA", at positions 1470 to 1796 of the family's 1831-position model. The record is from RNAcentral.